RNAcentral lists this ribosomal RNA (983 nucleotides) under Vibrio sp. JZHS40. Its description in RNAcentral is "bacterial SSU rRNA". It matches the Rfam family "Bacterial small subunit ribosomal RNA", at positions 351 to 1333 of the family's 1533-position model. The record is from RNAcentral. Lineage: Bacteria; Pseudomonadati; Pseudomonadota; Gammaproteobacteria; Vibrionales; Vibrionaceae.
GCCGGUGGAUGCCAUGGGCGCAGCCUGAUGCAGCCAUGCCGCGUGUGUGAAGAAGGCCUUCGGGUUGUAAAGCACUUUCAGUCGUGAGGAAGGUAGUGUGUUUAAUAGAUGCAUUAUUUGACGUUAGCGACAGAAGAAGCACCGGCUAACUCCGUGCCAGCAGCCGCGGUAAUACGGAGGGUGCGAGCGUUAAUCGGAAUUACUGGGCGUAAAGCGCAUGCAGGUGGUGUGUUAAGUCAGAUGUGAAAGCCCGGGGCUCAACCUCGGAAUUGCAUUUGAAACUGGCAGACUAGAGUACUGUAGAGGGGGGUAGAAUUUCAGGUGUAGCGGUGAAAUGCGUAGAGAUCUGAAGGAAUACCGGUGGCGAAGGCGGCCCCCUGGACAGAUACUGACACUCAGAUGCGAAAGCGUGGGGAGCAAACAGGAUUAGAUACCCUGGUAGUCCACGCCGUAAACGAUGUCUACUUGGAGGUUGUUCCCUUGAGGAGUGGCUUUCGGAGCUAACGCGUUAAGUAGACCGCCUGGGGAGUACGGUCGCAAGAUUAAAACUCAAAUGAAUUGACGGGGGCCCGCACAAGCGGUGGAGCAUGUGGUUUAAUUCGAUGCAACGCGAAGAACCUUACCUACUCUUGACAUCCAGAGAACUUUCCAGAGAUGGAUUGGUGCCUUCGGGAACUCUGAGACAGGUGCUGCAUGGCUGUCGUCAGCUCGUGUUGUGAAAUGUUGGGUUAAGUCCCGCAACGAGCGCAACCCUUAUCCUUGUUUGCCAGCGAGUCAUGUCGGGAACUCCAGGGAGACUGCCGGUGAUAAACCGGAGGAAGGUGGGGACGACGUCAAGUCAUCAUGGGCCCUUACGAGUAGGGCUACACACGUGCUACAAUGGCGCAUACAGAGGGCGGGCCAACUUGCGAAAGUGAGCGAUCCCAAAAAGUGCGUCGUAGUCCGGAUUGGAGUCUGCAACUCGACUCCAUGAAGUCGGAAUC